RNAcentral lists this unclassified non-coding RNA (348 nucleotides) under Hevea brasiliensis (rubber tree). The record is from RNAcentral. Lineage: Eukaryota; Viridiplantae; Streptophyta; Magnoliopsida; Malpighiales; Euphorbiaceae.
GGUGUCGGUUGCGCCUCCACCGGCGACACAUCCGCCGCCCUUUCCGCCUACUGUGCAGCUGCCGGCAUCCCCUCCAUUGUUUUCCUCCCCACCGACCGCAUCUCCCUCGCCCAGCUUGUCCAGCCCAUCGCCAAUGGUGCCACCGUCCUCUCCCUCGACACUGACUUCGACGGCUGCAUGCGCCUCAUCAGGGAGGUCACUGCCGAGCUCCCCAUUUACCUCGCUAACUCCCUCAAUUCCCUCCGCCUGGAGGGGCAGAAGACAGCCGCAAUUGAGAUCCUCCAGCAGUUUGAUUGGGAGGUCCCCGACUGGGUCAUUGUCCCUGGUGGCAAUCUCGGUAACAUCUAU